CAGAGGGUGCGAGCGUUGUCCGGAAUCACUGGGCGUAAAGGGCGCGUAGGCGGUUUUGUAAGUCGGGGGUGAAAUACUGCGGCUCAACCGCAGUGCUGCCUUCGAGACUGCAAGACUGGAGCACGGUAGAGGCGGAUGGAAUUCCCGGUGUAGCGGUGGAAUGCGUAGAGAUCGGGAAGAACACCAAUGGCGAAGGCAGUCCGCUGGGCCGUUGCUGACGCUGAGGCGCGACAGCGUGGGGAGCAAACAGGAUUAGAUACCCUGGUAGUCCACGCCGUAAACGAUGGGCACUAGGCGUCGGGGGGAGCGACCCUCCCGGUGCCGUCGCUAACGCAGUAAGCGCCCCGCCUGGGGAGUACGGCCGCAAGGUUG
Molecule: ribosomal RNA, 372 nt
Filed under: uncultured organism
Description: bacterial SSU rRNA
Rfam family: Bacterial small subunit ribosomal RNA
Source: RNAcentral